This 440-nucleotide ribosomal RNA is filed under the name Salmonella enterica subsp. enterica serovar Anatum. RNAcentral describes it as "bacterial SSU rRNA". It matches the Rfam family "Bacterial small subunit ribosomal RNA", at positions 338 to 795 of the family's 1533-position model. The record is from RNAcentral. Lineage: Bacteria; Pseudomonadati; Pseudomonadota; Gammaproteobacteria; Enterobacterales; Enterobacteriaceae.
CCUACGGGGGGCUGCAGUGGGGAAUAUUGCGCAAUGGGCGAAAGCCUGACGCAGCAACGCCGCGUGAGUGAUGAAGGCCUUCGGGUUGUAAAGCUCUGUCUUUUGGGACGAUAAUGACGGUACCCGAGGAAGAAGCCACGGCUAACUACGUGCCAGCAGCCGCGGUAAUACGUAGGUGGCAAGCGUUGUCCGGAUUUACUGGGCGUAAAGGAUGCGUAGGCGGAUAUUUAAGUGAGAUGUGAAAUACCCGAGCUUAACUUGGGUGCUGCAUUUGAAACUGGAUAUCUAGAGUGCGGGAGAGGAGAGUGGAAUUCCUAGUGUAGCGGUGAAAUGCGUAGAUAUUAGGAGGAACACCAGUGGCGAAGGCGACUUUCUGGACCGUAACUGACGCUGAGGCGCGAAAGCGUGGGGAGCAAACAGGAUUAGAUACCCGUGUAGUC